Molecule: ribosomal RNA, 1832 nt
Filed under: Escherichia coli O40:H32
Lineage: Bacteria; Pseudomonadati; Pseudomonadota; Gammaproteobacteria; Enterobacterales; Enterobacteriaceae
Description: partial 23S ribosomal RNA
Rfam family: Bacterial large subunit ribosomal RNA
Source: RNAcentral
GGGACACGUGGUAUCCUGUCUGAAUAUGGGGGGACCAUCCUCCAAGGCUAAAUACUCCUGACUGACCGAUAGUGAACCAGUACCGUGAGGGAAAGGCGAAAAGAACCCCGGCGAGGGGAGUGAAAAAGAACCUGAAACCGUGUACGUACAAGCAGUGGGAGCACGCUUCGGCGUGUGACUGCGUACCUUUUGUAUAAUGGGUCAGCGACUUAUAUUCUGUAGCAAGGUUAACCGAAUAGGGGAGCCGAAGGGAAACCGAGUCUUAACUGGGCGUUAAGUUGCAGGGUAUAGACCCGAAACCCGGUGAUCUAGCCAUGGGCAGGUUGAAGGUUGGGUAACACUAACUGGAGGACCGAACCGACUAAUGUUGAAAAAUUAGCGGAUGACUUGUGGCUGGGGGUGAAAGGCCAAUCAAACCGGGAGAUAGCUGGUUCUCCCCGAAAGCUAUUUAGGUAGCGCCUCGUGAAUUCAUCUCCGGGGGUAGAGCACUGUUUCGGCAAGGGGGUCAUCCCGACUUACCAACCCGAUGCAAACUGCGAAUACCGGAGAAUGUUAUCACGGGAGACACACGGCGGGUGCUAACGUCCGUCGUGAAGAGGGAAACAACCCAGACCGCCAGCUAAGGUCCCAAAGUCAUGGUUAAGUGGGAAACGAUGUGGGAAGGCCCAGACAGCCAGGAUGUUGGCUUAGAAGCAGCCAUCAUUUAAAGAAAGCGUAAUAGCUCACUGGUCGAGUCGGCCUGCGCGGAAGAUGUAACGGGGCUAAACCAUGCACCGAAGCUGCGGCAGCGACGCUGAUGCGUUGUUGGGUAGGGGAGCGUUCUGUAAGCCUGCGAAGGUGUGCUGUGAGGCAUGCUGGAGGUAUCAGAAGUGCGAAUGCUGACAUAAGUAACGAUAAAGCGGGUGAAAAGCCCGCUCGCCGGAAGACCAAGGGUUCCUGUCCAACGUUAAUCGGGGCAGGGUGAGUCGACCCCUAAGGCGAGGCCGAAAGGCGUAGUCGAUGGGAAACAGGUUAAUAUUCCUGUACUUGGUGUUACUGCGAAGGGGGGACGGAGAAGGCUAUGUUGGCCGGGCGACGGUUGUCCCGGUUUAAGCGUGUAGGCUGGUUUUCCAGGCAAAUCCGGAAAAUCAAGGCUGAGGCGUGAUGACGAGGCACUACGGUGCUGAAGCAACAAAUGCCCUGCUUCCAGGAAAAGCCUCUAAGCAUCAGGUAACAUCAAAUCGUACCCCAAACCGACACAGGUGGUCAGGUAGAGAAUACCAAGGCGCUUGAGAGAACUCGGGUGAAGGAACUAGGCAAAAUGGUGCCGUAACUUCGGGAGAAGGCACGCUGAUAUGUAGGUGAAGUCCCUUGCGGAUGGAGCUGAAAUCAGUCGAAGAUACCAGCUGGCUGCAACUGUUUAUUAAAAACACAGCACUGUGCAAACACGAAAGUGGACGUAUACGGUGUGACGCCUGCCCGGUGCCGGAAGGUUAAUUGAUGGGGUCAGCGCAAGCGAAGCUCUUGAUCGAAGCCCCGGUAAACGGCGGCCGUAACUAUAACGGUCCUAAGGUAGCGAAAUUCCUUGUCGGGUAAGUUCCGACCUGCACGAAUGGCGUAAUGAUGGCCAGGCUGUCUCCACCCGAGACUCAGUGAAAUUGAACUCGCUGUGAAGAUGCAGUGUACCCGCGGCAAGACGGAAAGACCCCGUGAACCUUUACUAUAGCUUGACACUGAACAUUGAGCCUUGAUGUGUAGGAUAGGUGGGAGGCUUGGAAGUGUGGACGCCAGUCUGCAUGGAGCCGACCUUGAAAUACCACCCUUUAAUGUUUGAUGUUCUAACGUUGACCCGU